UCAGACGAUGCGUCAUGCAUAUCAAUAAGCGGAGGAAAAGAAACUAACAAGGAUUCCCUUAGUAACGGCGAGUGAAGCGGGAAGAGCUCAAAUUUGAAAUCUUCAAGGUUUUACCUUGACGAAUUGUAGUUUAAAGAAGUGUUUUCUGCUGAAGUUUUGGUAAAAGUUCUUUGGAAUAGGACAUCAUAGAGGGUGAGAAUCCCGUAUUUGACCAUUAUUUUCAGCUUUGUGAUACACUUUCAAAGAGUCGGAUUGUUUGGGAAUGCAGUCCAAAAUGGGUGGUAAAUUUCAUCUAAAGCUAAAUAUUGGCGAGAGACCGAUAGCGAACAAGUACCGUGAGGGAAAGAUGAAAAGAACUUUGAAAAGAGAGUUAAACAGUACGUGAAAUUGUCCAAAAGGGAAAGCGUUUGACACCAGUGUUGUUUUCUCGAAAAUCAAUUAAAAAUGGCUCGAUUUUGUAUUGUUGAGACCUUAAAAGCUCACUGUAGCAUUUUUCGUGUCUUUUUUAAUGCACUUUUCGUUUAACAAGUCAACAUCAGUUUCUUUUGUUGUAAAAGGGUCAUUGGAAGGUGGCUUUCUUUUCGGAGAAAGUGUUUACAGCCUUUGGCCUCUGCAAUCGGAGAGACUGAGGUCUGCAGCGUAGACUCUUCGGGGUUAGAUACAUUUGUGCUAAGUUAUAGCUUUUUAUAGACAACUUGUUGACUAUAAUUAGUCUUGUAGCUUACUCGCUUAUGCUAUUUUACCUACGCUUAGGAUGUUGAACUACUGAGACAUAGA
Molecule: ribosomal RNA, 777 nt
Filed under: uncultured Neocallimastigales
Lineage: Eukaryota; Fungi; Neocallimastigomycota; Neocallimastigomycetes; Neocallimastigales
Description: partial large subunit ribosomal RNA
Rfam family: Eukaryotic large subunit ribosomal RNA
Source: RNAcentral